GUGGCUGUAUGGCACCGAACAGACCUGAUCUCCUCCUUUCUUGGAAGCUAAGCAGGGUCAGGCUUUGUUAGGACUUGGAUGGGAGACCACCUUGGAAUAGCAU
Molecule: ribosomal RNA, 103 nt
Filed under: Scleropages formosus (Asian bonytongue)
Lineage: Eukaryota; Metazoa; Chordata; Actinopteri; Osteoglossiformes; Osteoglossidae
Source: RNAcentral